UGCAAGUCGAGCGGGCCCUUCGGGGUCAGCGGCGGACGGGUGAGUAACGCGUGGGAACGUGCCUUCUGGUCUGGAAUAACCCUGGGAAACUAGGGCUAAUACCGGAUACGCCCUUUUGGGGAAAGGUUUACUGCCGGAAGAUCGGCCCGCGUCUGAUUAGCUAGUUGGUGGGGUAACGGCCUACCAAGGCGACGAUCAGUAGCUGGUCUGAGAGGAUGAUCAGCCACACUGGGACUGAGACACGGCCCAGACUCCUACGGGAGGCAGCAGUGGGGAAUAUUGGACAAUGGGCGCAAGCCUGAUCCAGCCAUGCCGCGUGAGUGAUGAAGGCCUUAGGGUUGUAAAGCUCUUUUAUCCGGGACGAUAAUGACGGUACCGGAGGAAUAAGCCCCGGCUAACUUCGUGCCAGCAGCCGCGGUAAUACGAAGGGGGCUAGCGUUGCUCGGAAUCACUGGGCGUAAAGGGCGCGUAGGCGGCGUUUUAAGUCGGGGGUGAAAGCCUGUGGCUCAACCACAGAAUGGCCUUCGAUACUGGGACGCUUGAGUAUGGUAGAGGUUGGUGGAACUGCGAGUGUAGAGGUGAAAUUCGUAGAUAUUCGCAAGAACACCGGUGGCGAAGGCGGCCAACUGGACCAUUACUGACGCUGAGGCGCG
This 653-nucleotide ribosomal RNA is filed under the name Methylobacterium phyllostachyos. RNAcentral's name for it is "bacterial SSU rRNA". It matches the Rfam family "Bacterial small subunit ribosomal RNA", at positions 56 to 755 of the family's 1533-position model. Lineage: Bacteria; Pseudomonadati; Pseudomonadota; Alphaproteobacteria; Hyphomicrobiales; Methylobacteriaceae. The record is from RNAcentral.